AUAAAGUUUUAUUUUGACUUAUUAAUUUAUUAUUAAUUUAUUUUAUAUGUAAAUUUUUGUAAGAUUUUACAUUAAUCUAAAAGAUUAUUGAAAUUUUAUUAUUCGCAGUAAUUAAUAUUAUAGAUUAAAGAAAUUUAGAAUUAGUAAUAUUAAAUUGUAUUGACAAAAUUUGUGCCAGCAGUCGCGGUUAUACAAAAGAUACAAAUAAAUUUUAUUAGUAUAAGUUAAAUAUUUAAUUUAAAUUAAAUUUAAUUGUUAUUUUAUUAGGUGAAAUUUUAAAAUAAUUAUAUUUUUAUGCAAUUGAUUAAUUGAAGCUAUAAAAUUUUAGAAUUAAACUAGGAUUAGAUACCCUAUUAUUUAAAAUGUAAAUUAUAUUUGCUAGAGUAGUAUUAGUUAUGGUCUUGAAACUUAAAAAAUUUGGCGGUAUUUUAGUCUAUUCAGAGGAAUCUGUUUUAUAAUUGAUAAUCCACGAUGGACCUAACUUAAUUUUGUAAUCAGUUUAUAUACCGCCGUUAUUUGAAUAUUUUAUAAGAAUUUAUAAUUUUCAAUAGUUUUAAUAAAAAUUAAUGUCAGGUCAAGGUGUAGCUUAUGAUUAAGUAAUAAUGGAUUACAAUAAAAUUAUUUAUGCGGAUUUAAUAGUGAAAUUUAUUAAUGAAGAUGGAUUUGAUAGUAAAUUUUUAAAGAUUAAAAAAUUGAUUGUAGCUCUAAAAUAUGCACACAUCGCCCGUCGCUCUUAUUAUUAAGAUAAGAUAAGUCGUAACAUAGUAGAUGUACCGGAAGGUGUAUCUAGAAAGAC
RNAcentral lists this non-coding RNA (796 nucleotides) under Calohilara tibetensis. The record is from RNAcentral. Lineage: Eukaryota; Metazoa; Arthropoda; Insecta; Diptera; Empididae.